GCCUGGUGUGGUGGCGGGCACCUGUAAUCCCAGCUACUUGGAAGGCUGAGGUGGGAGGAUCACUUGAGCCCAGGAGGUUGAGGCUGCAGUGAGCCAUGAUCAUGCCACUGCACUCAGCCUGGGCUACAGAGUGAGACCCUGUCUCAA
Molecule: non-coding RNA, 147 nt
Filed under: Homo sapiens (human)
Lineage: Eukaryota; Metazoa; Chordata; Mammalia; Primates; Hominidae
Source: Rfam by way of RNAcentral